This 465-nucleotide ribosomal RNA is filed under the name uncultured bacterium. RNAcentral describes it as "SSU rRNA". It matches the Rfam family "Bacterial small subunit ribosomal RNA", at positions 26 to 518 of the family's 1533-position model. The record is from RNAcentral.
AGGACUAACGCUGGCGGCGUGCCUAACACAUGCAAGUCGAACGAGGGGUAGCAAUACCCCUAGUGGCAGACGGGUGAGUAACACGUAGUCAACCUACCUCUUAAUGGGGGAUAACUAGCCGAAAGGUUAGCUAAUACCGCAUACGAUCGUCGAGUGGCAUCACACGACGAUGAAAGGAGCAAUCCGUUGAGAGAGGGGACUGCGUCCCAUUAGUUAGUUGGUGGGGUAAUGGCCUACCAAGACUCCGAUGGGUAGCUGGCUUGAGAGAGCGACCAGCCACACUGGAACUGAGACACGGUCCAGACUCCUACGGGAGGCAGCAGUGAGGAAUUUUCCGCAAUGGGGGAAACCCUGACGGAGCGACGCCGCGUGUGGGAAGAAGGCCUUCGGGUCGUAACCACUGUCGAGGGGACGAUAUUGACGGUACCCCUGGAGGAAGCCCGGCUACUACGCGCCAGCAGCCGC